RNAcentral lists this ribosomal RNA (566 nucleotides) under Naganishia albida. Its description in RNAcentral is "eukaryotic LSU rRNA". The stretch from base 141 to 294 matches the Rfam family "5.8S ribosomal RNA". The record is from RNAcentral. Lineage: Eukaryota; Fungi; Basidiomycota; Tremellomycetes; Filobasidiales; Filobasidiaceae.
UCGAGCUUGCUCACAGGCACAUCAUAUCCAUAACACCUGUGCACUUGUCGGAUGGCUUAGUGAAGACCGCAAGGUUGAAUCUAUCCAUCUACUUUACAUAACAAUUCUGUAACAAAUGUAGUCUUAUUAUAACAUAAUAAAACUUUCAACAACGGAUCUCUUGGCUCUCGCAUCGAUGAAGAACGCAGCGAAAUGCGAUAAGUAAUGUGAAUUGCAGAAUUCAGUGAAUCAUCGAAUCUUUGAACGCACCUUGCGCUCCUUGGUAUUCCGAGGAGCAUGCCUGUUUGAGUGUCAUGAAAACCCUCAACCCUAGAUUGGUUAAAACCUUUCUUUGGUUUGGAUUUGGACGUUUGCCGAUGAUAAGUCGGCUCGUCUUAAAAGUAAUAGCUGGAUCUGUCUCGCGACAUGGUUUGACUUGGCGUAAUAAGUAUUUCGCUAAGGACAUCUUCGGAUGGCCGCGUUGCAGGACUAAAGACCGCUUUCUAAUCCAUUGAUCUUCGGAUUAAUACUCUUGACAUCUGGCCUCAAAUCAGGUAGGACUACCCGCUGAACUUAAGCAUAUCAUA